RNAcentral lists this ribosomal RNA (253 nucleotides) under uncultured bacterium. Its description in RNAcentral is "partial 16S ribosomal RNA". It matches the Rfam family "Bacterial small subunit ribosomal RNA", at positions 524 to 776 of the family's 1533-position model. The record is from RNAcentral.
UACAGAGGGUGCGAGCGUUGUCCGGAAUCACUGGGCGUAAAGGGCGCGUAGGCGGCCUGAUAAGUCGGGGGUGAAAUCCUGUGGCUCAACCACAGGGCUGCCUCCGGGACUGUCGGGCUCGAGCACAGUAGAGGCAGGUGGAAUUCCCGGUGUAGCGGUGGAAUGCGUAGAGAUCGGGAAGAACAUCGGUGGCGAAGGCGGCCUGCUGGGCUGUUGCUGACACUGAGGCGCGACAGCGUGGGGAGCAAACAGG